This 251-nucleotide ribosomal RNA is filed under the name uncultured bacterium. RNAcentral's name for it is "partial 16S ribosomal RNA". It matches the Rfam family "Bacterial small subunit ribosomal RNA", at positions 526 to 776 of the family's 1533-position model. The record is from RNAcentral.
UGGAGGGGGCUAGCGUUGUUCGGAAUUACUGGGCGUAAGGCGCGCGUAGGCGGAUCAGAAAGUCAGAGGUGAAAUCCCAGGGCUCAACCUUGGAACUGCCUUUGAAACUCCUGGUCUAGAGUUCGAGAGAGGUGAGUGGAAUUCCGAGUGUAGAGGUGAAAUUCGUAGAUAUUCGGAGGAACACCAGUGGCGAAGGCGGCUCACUGGCUCGAUACUGACGCUGAGGUGCGCACGCGUGGGGAGCAAACAGG